AGCCGCUUUUCCUCCAGAAACAGCGGCUUUUCCCCCACACGGCACCAGCCUUUCCCUCACAAACACCUUCUUUCCCCCGUCCCGAAAGAGCCGGGUGAGGCGGCUCCGAGGCCGCGCCGCCAUUACAGCGGCGGCUGCGCUCCGCCGGCUGUGAGGCGAGAGAACGCGGCGGGGUUUCGGGGAGAGAUAAAAAUCUUAUUAUGUAACGCACAUUUUUUAUAGAUUAUUGUCGAGUCCAGGGCUGGGGUAAUGCGGGCUGUCAGCAGCUGGGGCGAGAGGCUGAGGGACGAGCGGGCUGCGGCCGCUCCCUCCCAAGGGCACUGAGGCACCAUUUCUUCACCAGCCGUGAGGAGAACUUUGAUAUAUUACGUUAUUUUUUUUUCCACAGAAAGAUCUACUUAACGUGAUUACACAUGCACAGCUCCUGAAGGACAGUGCCUGGCACAAAGUUCCCACAAGUUCUGAACAUGCACCAAGUGUCCCAAACACCCCAGGGCAGAGAACACAACUUUGCCAGCUGAGACCAACAGGACGAGACUUGAGUGACCAAGUUCUUCAAUUUCAGAAGAAUGCAGUGUCAUAAAGACCUUAAUAAUACCACAGCCUCACAAAAUUGGCCAUUUCCACUUACAAAAAAAGCCAUAAGAGAAUCUCCAGCUUGUUAAAAUCCUCAAGACCACCACAGAAAUUGCAGACAAUAAUUAUUCUCCAGACAAAUGAAACUGGAUACGUUACACAGCAAGUGGGAGCACCAAACCAGGGAAAAGGGGGUGAGGCAGCUUUCUCUCACCAACAGGGUUUGAGGGGUUUAGUAUUUACGUGGCUAAAUUCAAAGUGUGUUGAAAAUUAAACACUAGUGCUUUGAGAGACUUCAAAGCCAGGUGGGAUUUUGCUUCCCAAAGUAAAGAGAGAGUUAAAUGUUUAUUAUUAUCUAACUGAUUGCUGAGAAACAUGUAAAACUCUUUUCUGAUCCUUCAAAAUUAAAUAUACAAUCCACCAGAUUCCAUUACUUGCUCGACUGAGUUUGAUUUCAUUGUAUUAAUAAGAAAAAAAUGUUUUAUUUCCUCCCAGAGUAUCGUCUACUUUUCCAUUAUUACAACUAGAAAUUGCCAAGAAAAUGAAAUGCUCGAGCACAGCAGACACUGCUUUUCUUCUCGUUAAAUCUUAAAACUUGGUUCCAGUGGGAUCAUAUUCAGUCCUCUCAAAUUCAGAACAGAAUUUCAUCCUGCCUCAACAUCCCAACAAUGACAUUUUAUAAAUAUUACGAGUUUCUUGGACGCCUUUCUCAUUCCACAAGGAGCAGAGAAGCACUCUGUUUAGGGAUUUUUUUCUUCUUCCCCUGCUUGAGAUUUUUUUAUUAAACCUUAAAUGUAACCAGCCCUCCUCAAUCCAUUUUCUGCAGGAUUUUUUGGAGACCUUUGGAAGUCUCACAGAUUUUCUGAGCUGUAAUAAUUGUGACAAAUCUUUGACAAAGGAUUGUCUUUAUUCAAGCAAUGAUAAAGCUCUCAUUGAGAGAGGUGCUGGAAAUAAACAAGUGCUUAAAGCAGCCUAAAAGUUGUCUUAAAUCUCCACCUGCUCUCCAGCCGAGACAGGGCCUGGAUUUCUAAAUCCAGGAGGAGCAAACAAUAAUUAAAAGAAGUAAAUAAAUCCUUGCAUGGUUCUUUAGACAUGAGGGGGGUGGGGCAGUCAGAAGAGGAGACACUGAUUUCCUCAUCUUCCCUUCUCUACACUUUCCAUGAGUGUCAGCCCAUCUCACCCUUCCAGGAGGUUCCACACUCAAGGUCUUUUGUAAAGCCACGCAAAUACAGAGCUAUUGCAGAACCAAGGACACAGGAAACACAUCCCCAGGAAUGGCAAACUUGGGUUAUUUUUUAAGUUUUCCAAUUCUACAAUUUUUGCUGUGAGGCAGCAGGGGGAAAAAUGGCAAUGUGACAAAUCAACCUUGUGAAUGUCAGCAGUGUCAGGGAACAAGAAGAAACAGAACAAUACCAUUCAUCAUUUCCCAAGGUAUGUUGAAGUGUGGUCUGUAAAAAAACAACCUUAGAAAUUGCUUUUCCUCUCACUGAAGCAAAUAAAAGCAACCCCAUUCUGCAGGCAGACGGGCAGCAAGGCCUUGUGUCUGCACAUCCCUGCUCUGCCCAGCCACCAUCUCACGGGUGCUGCAUGGAUCCAUCACAGAACACAACCCUGCUGCCAACCGAGCCUUUUUACAUUUCACUCAUGACUUCUACAUCAACCACCAAAGCUUUGCCGCGGAACAACUCGGGCUCACACCUCGGGACCCGUGUAGGGACCUACCUGUCACUGCUGGUGC
This is a non-coding RNA of Cyanistes caeruleus (blue tit), 2314 nucleotides long. The record is from RefSeq and is a predicted model, not a curated record. NCBI's taxonomy places the organism in Eukaryota, Metazoa, Chordata, Aves, Passeriformes, Paridae.